RNAcentral lists this ribosomal RNA (497 nucleotides) under uncultured bacterium. RNAcentral's name for it is "partial 16S ribosomal RNA". It matches the Rfam family "Bacterial small subunit ribosomal RNA", at positions 28 to 507 of the family's 1533-position model. The record is from RNAcentral.
GAUGAACGCUGGCGGCGUGCCUAAUACAUGCAAGUCGAGCGAACAGACGAGGAGCUUGCUCCUCUGACGUUAGCGGCGGACGGGUGAGUAACACGUGGAUAACCUACCUAUAAGACUGGGAUAACUUCGGGAAACCGGAGCUAAUACCGGAUAAUAUAUUGAACCGCAUGGUUCAAUAGUGAAAGACGGUUUUGCUGUCACUUAUAGAUGGAUCCGCGCCGCAUUAGCUAGUUGGUAAGGUAACGGCUUACCAAGGCAACGAUGCGUAACCGACCUGAGAGGGUGAUCGGCCACACUGGAACUGAGACACGGUCCAGACGCCUACGGGAGGCAGCAGUAGGGAAUCGUCCGCAAAGGGCGAAAGCCUGACGGAGCAACGCCGCGUGAGUGAUGAAGGUCUUCGGAUCGUAAAACUCUGUUAUUAGGGAAGAACAAAUGUGUAAGUAACUAUGCACGUCUUGACGGUACCUAAUCAGAAAGCCACGGCUAACUACGUG